AUUAAGACUCUGUUCCGUACACGCAUGUGCUACUUACGAUUAAACACUAACGAUGUCAUCAUACUAAGCCGAUAUGUUGGAAAAAUGAGAGCCUUCGAGCUAUUUGAGUAGCGAGUAGAAACGUGUAGGAGGCUGAGUCAAGGAAUUCCUCUGCUUUCUUGAGGUGCUGCUUCAAAUAUCGUAAAAUCUCUUUGGAGGUGUUCAUUCAGUUCUAAUAUUGCCGCUACGUUACCGCAUCUGUAAAAAUGUCGAUUAAGCAAUCAAGUGUCAAAUCGUGGUCGAUCAUUGUUGAGUUACGUUGUAUUACAGUUGAUGUGCUCGACAAAUCAUGUCGAUAUCGUUAGCAGAGUUAAACUGAGCAACAACGUCACUGCCAAACAAAUAUCCUGCACCUCUUGGAGAGACGCCCCAUCCUUGGGUGUCUUCAGGAUCAGACCAAAGCAGAUCACACAUUGGGCCGUCAUGUGGUACCUAAAUCCAGUUCAUUGAAUUAUUUUUGGUCAGCAAGGCACAUCGCCACCAACCUUGAAUAGCUCUUUCAGGUCAUAAAAUUGACCAUGUAUGUCACCGCAGACCUGCAAAGUAUGAAUGAGUCAGCACUUGAGGAUUUAAAAAAAAACCAGCUCAUCUAUUACGUUAACCUUAACUUACGGUAACAGCUGUUCAAUUUGCCGAUCCAAAUCACUGGAAUCGGACAUUGCUUCGCCCGUUAUAUUGCGCGUGAACUGUAAACAAAUCAAAAAUAACACUGUAACAUCUUAAAAAUUGUGGACGAUGAAGGUUGGUAUUAAAAUAUCAUGCAUCAAUACAACAAUUGCGUAAGAGUCGAUCAAAGUUCUCAAAGACAAUAAACUCGAAAUUAUUUGUUAGACCAAGUGAGAUUUAGGGUGUAACUAAGUGAUGUGAGGUAGUGUAAGACGGUGACUUUGAAAUAUAAACUAAAAUAAAUAAAUAAAUAUGUGAUAGAGCAAUGCGCUGUGUCAAAUCUGAUAUGUUCACAUGGUUUGAAUAUAGAUGACGUCAAUCAGA
Long non-coding RNA from Athalia rosae (coleseed sawfly), 1029 nucleotides. RefSeq lists it as uncharacterized. NCBI's taxonomy places the organism in Eukaryota, Metazoa, Arthropoda, Insecta, Hymenoptera, Athaliidae. The record is from RefSeq and is a predicted model, not a curated record. The transcript has 5 exons.